GUGUCAGCCGCCGCGGUAAUACAGAGGUGCCAAGCGUUAGGCGGAAUCACUGGGCUUUUAGCGCGUGUAGGUGGAUGGGUAAGUACCUUGUGAAAUCCCACGGCUCAACCGUGGAACUGCUGGGUAUACUGCUUGUCUUGAGGCACUUAGGGGGACCUGGAACAAAUGGUGGAGCGGUGAAAUGCGUAGAAAUCAUUUGGAACGCCAAAGGCGAAAGCAGGCUGCUGGGAGUGAUCUGACACUGAGACGCGAAAGCCAGGGGAGCAAACGGGAUUAGAAACCCGUGUAGUCC
This 292-nucleotide ribosomal RNA is filed under the name uncultured prokaryote. RNAcentral describes it as "partial 16S ribosomal RNA". It matches the Rfam family "Bacterial small subunit ribosomal RNA", at positions 505 to 796 of the family's 1533-position model. The record is from RNAcentral.